This 253-nucleotide ribosomal RNA is filed under the name uncultured bacterium. RNAcentral's name for it is "partial 16S ribosomal RNA". It matches the Rfam family "Bacterial small subunit ribosomal RNA", at positions 524 to 776 of the family's 1533-position model. The record is from RNAcentral.
UACGUAGGGGGCAAGCGUUGUCCGGAUUUAUUGGGCGUAAAGAGCGUGUAGGCGGCCAUACAGGUCCAUUGUGAAAACUGGAGGCUUAACCUCCAGACGUCGAUGGAAACCGUAUGGCUAGAGUCCGGAAGAGGAGAGUGGAAUUCCUGGUGUAGCGGUGAAAUGCGCAGAUAUCAGGAAGAACACCCGUGGCGAAGGCGGUUCUCUGGGACGGUACUGACGCUGAGACGCGAAAGCGUGGGGAGCGAACAGG